UACAGAGACCUCAAGCGUUAUCCGGAAUCAUUGGGCGUAAAGCGUACCGAUAGGUGGUUUUGAAAGUCUUGGGUAAAAGCCAGAAGCUUAACUUCUGAGUUUGCUUAAGAUACUGCAAAACUAGAGGGGCAAAGAGGUGCUUGGAACGAAUGGUGUAGUAGUGAAAUGCGUUGAUAUCAUUCGGAACACCGAAAGCGAAGGCAGAGCACUGGGUGCCACCUGACACUGCUAGGACGAAAGCGUGGGGAGCGAAUGGG
This 257-nucleotide ribosomal RNA is filed under the name uncultured bacterium. RNAcentral describes it as "partial 16S ribosomal RNA". It matches the Rfam family "Bacterial small subunit ribosomal RNA", at positions 524 to 776 of the family's 1533-position model. The record is from RNAcentral.